AGAGUUUGAUCAUGGCUCAGAACGAACGCUGGCGGCAGGCCUAACACAUGCAAGUCGAACGCCCUAGCAAUAGGGAGUGGCAGGCGGGUGAGUAACACGUGGGAACCUUCCCUAUAGUACGGAAUAGCCCAGGGAAACUUGGAGUAAUACCGUAUACGCCCGAGAGGGGAAAGAUUUAUCGCUAUAGGAUGGGCCCGCGUCGGAUUAGCUAGUUGGUGAGGUAAUGGCUCACCAAGGCAACGAUCCGUAGCUGGUUUGAGAGAAUGACCAGCCACACUGGGACUGAGACACGGCCCAGACUCCUACGGGAGGCAGCAGUGGGGAAUCUUGGACAAUGGGCGCAAGCCUGAUCCAGCCAUGCCGCGUGAGUGAUGAAGGCCUUAGGGUUGUAAAGCUCUUUUGCCGGGGACGAUAAUGACGGUACCCGGAGAAUAUC
RNAcentral lists this ribosomal RNA (436 nucleotides) under uncultured Hyphomicrobium sp. RNAcentral describes it as "bacterial SSU rRNA". It matches the Rfam family "Bacterial small subunit ribosomal RNA", at positions 8 to 490 of the family's 1533-position model. Lineage: Bacteria; Pseudomonadati; Pseudomonadota; Alphaproteobacteria; Hyphomicrobiales; Hyphomicrobiaceae. The record is from RNAcentral.